RNAcentral lists this ribosomal RNA (439 nucleotides) under uncultured bacterium. RNAcentral describes it as "partial 16S ribosomal RNA". It matches the Rfam family "Bacterial small subunit ribosomal RNA", at positions 338 to 795 of the family's 1533-position model. The record is from RNAcentral.
CCUACGGGAGGCAGCAGUAGGGAAUUUUGCGCAAUGGGCGAAAGCCUGACGCAGCAACACCGCGUGAAUGUUAAGCCCUUCGGGGUGUAAAGUUCUGUCAAUAGGGACGAAUUUUGACUGUACCUAUAAAGGAAGCACCGGCUAACUCCGUGCCAGCAGCCGCGGUAAUACGGGGGGUGCAAGCGUUGUCCGGAAUCAUUGGGCGUAAAGCGUUCGUAGGCGGCAAGGUAAGUCUGAUGUUAAAGCCCGGGGCUCAACCCCGGCGAGCCGUUGAAACUGGCUGUCUUGAGAUGUCGAGAGGUAUGCGGAAUGCGCAGUGUAGCGGUGAAAUGCUUAGAUAUUGCGCAGAACUCCGAUUGCGAAGGCAGCAUACCGGCGGCGAUCUGACGCUGAGGCACGAAAGCGUGGGUAUCGAACAGGAUUAGAUACCCUGGUAGUC